AGCCUAGACAACACUGUGAAAGAACUUGCUGAACAACUGGAAUUUAUCAAAAACUCAGAUAUUCGGGGUGCCUUGGAUAGCAUUACCAAGUAUUUCCAGAUGUCUCUUGAGGCAGAGGAGAGAGUGAAUGCCUCCACCACAGAACCCAACAGCACUGUGGAGCAGUCAGCCCUCAUGAGAGACAGAGUAGAAGACGUGAUGAUGGAGCGAGAAUCCCAGUUCAAGGAAAAACAAGAGGAGCAGGCUCGCCUCCUUGAUGAACUGGCAGGCAAGCUACAAAGCCUAGACCUUUCAGCCGCUGCUGAAAUGCACCCUUGCUGAGGACCACCUACACAUUCUCUGGGGCCACCCAGGCCCUGCACAGCUGUUUUGCUGCAGCAGAUUCACUAUCCGAAGUAUUGUGCCUGAUCCUUGGCUUGUUGCAGACCUGUGGAACACCCCCAGGGGCCUCCUGUUCCGAGACUGAAUGUGGCGGGCCAAACUGCAGAACUGACGAAGGAGAGAAGAAGUGUGGGGGGCCUGGCUGUGGUGGUCUGGUUACUGUUGCACACAACGCCUGGCAGAAAGCCAUGGACUUGGACCAAGAUGUCCUGAGUGCCCUGGCUGAAGUGGAACAGCUCUCCAAGAUGGUCUCUGAAGCAAAACUGAGGGCAGAUGAGGCAAAACAGAGUGCUGAAGACAUUCUGUUGAAGACAAAUGCUACCAAAGAAAAAAUGGACAAGAGCAAUGAGGAGCUGAGAAAUCUAAUCAAGCAAAUCAGAAACUUUUUGACCCAGGAUAGUGCUGAUUUGGACAGCAUUGAAGCAGUUGCUAAUGAAGUAUUGAAAAUGGAGAUGCCUAGCACCCCACAGCAGUUACAGAACUUGACAGAAGAUAUACGUGAACGAGUUGAAAGCCUUUCUCAAGUAGAGGUUAUUCUUCAGCAUAGUGCUGCUGACAUUGCCA
This 945-nucleotide small RNA is filed under the name Pan troglodytes (chimpanzee). Its description in RNAcentral is "processed transcript". The record is from RNAcentral. Lineage: Eukaryota; Metazoa; Chordata; Mammalia; Primates; Hominidae.